Molecule: long non-coding RNA, 726 nt
Organism: Esox lucius (northern pike)
Lineage: Eukaryota; Metazoa; Chordata; Actinopteri; Esociformes; Esocidae
Source: Ensembl
CACACACUGGACCUGUGCCGUGCCAGAAGUGAUGGCAUCUCCUCCACAAGCCAGCCCCAGCAAUGGCACAAAGCCAGGGGUAAAAAAAGUUACUGGACAACCUGUGAGUAGUGUGGUGGCAGCUAAGGCCAAAGUCAACCGCAAGCAGAAACCCAUCAUGUCCAGUUACAUUCAUAAUAACAUGUAUUGUUAUAGGAAAGAGUUAGGAACAGGAGUACAUGGUCUACUGAGGGAGAUGACUGAUGCACCCAUAAGCUACAUAGCUGAUGAAGCUGCACCUGAGGUAGAAAUUGAAGGCAGGAAAUAUGCAUUGGGGUGCGGUCUAAGCCACCAGUGUUAGACUUCAACAAUUUUGGGGGCUCAUCCGGGAUUGGAAAAAGGAGAAGGAAUUCGACACGGUCCAGACAACCUAUACAAGAUUCACAGGUACCGAGCCGGCUCAUGAUAAAGGUAAGCAGAGCCUGUUAUAUCUAAGUCUGCAUAUUGGCUAUGAACUAAAUUGUGAACCUGUGGAAAACGUAGUGGGGUACUGGUUUAAAUUCAGGAGGGCAAGGCAAUUGGUUAAUCGUUCUGGGGUUGACUACCCCAGACCACUUCCCGACGGGGACGGUGGAGAUUGUAAGUAAGGGACUUGAUAAUCAGUCGGGUGAAUGGCCCGAGGAGAUAGGGACACCUCGAACAUAACGGGUGAGUUAGGAUCUCACACAUAAAUAAACACUAGUAAGG